RNAcentral lists this ribosomal RNA (493 nucleotides) under uncultured bacterium. RNAcentral's name for it is "partial 16S ribosomal RNA". It matches the Rfam family "Bacterial small subunit ribosomal RNA", at positions 29 to 523 of the family's 1533-position model. The record is from RNAcentral.
AUUGAACGCUGGCGGCAUGCUUUACACAUGCAAGUCGAACGGUAACAGGUUAAGCUGACGAGUGGCGAACGGGUGAGUAAUGCAUCGGAACGUGCCCGGCCGUGGGGGAUAACGCAGCGAAAGCUGCGCUAAUACCGCAUACGAUCUGAGGAUGAAAGCGGGGGACCGUAAGGCCUCGCGCGAUCGGAGCGGCCGAUGUCAGAUUAGGUAGUUGGUGGGGGAAAGGCCCACCAAGCCAAGGAUCUGUAGCUGGUCUGUGAGGGCGACCAGCCACACUGGGACUGAGACACGGCCCAGACUCAUACGGGAGGCAGCAGUGGGGAAUAUGGGACAAUGGGCGAAAGCCUGAUCCAGAAAGGCCGCGUGUGUGAAGAAGGCCUGCGGGUUGUAAAGCACUUUUAUCAGGAAAGAAAAGCUCGGGGCUAAUAUCCCCGGGCCUUGACGGUACCUGAUGAAUAAGCACCGGCUAACUCCGUGCCAGCAGCCGCCGUAA